CGAUAUGUAGUCAAGGAUACUCCUGCUACACAAGUAACGCAGAAAGCAUUUGAAUCGGUGUAUGCAGCGGACAAGAUCAAGUUGUGGGGUCAUCCGCCAGAAGAUGAUUUUCCAGAAGUCUGUGAGGAAGACAACAGCGAAAUCAACGGGGAUUGAACCAGCCACGAAGGAACAAGGAUGCUAAAAGGUGUUGGAGAGUUCAACAUAAUUAAACGAUUAAUUUGUUAUCGAUCUGUUUUGAAUUUAAUAAAAAAAACUGUUUUUGUUCAAAA
RNAcentral lists this long non-coding RNA (272 nucleotides) under Aedes aegypti (yellow fever mosquito). RNAcentral describes it as "lncRNA AAEL028118". The record is from RNAcentral. Lineage: Eukaryota; Metazoa; Arthropoda; Insecta; Diptera; Culicidae.